AUUGAACGCUGGCGGCAUGCUUUACACAUGCAAGUCGAACGGCAGCAUAGGAGCUUGCUCCUGAUGGCGAGUGGCGAACGGGUGAGUAAUAUAGCGGAACGUGCCCUAGAGUGGGGGAUAACUAGUCGAAAGAUUAGCUAAUACCGCAUACGAUCUAAGGAUGACAGUGGGGGAUCGCAAGACCUCAUGCUCGUGGAGCGGCCGAUAUCUGAUUAGCUAGUUGGUGGGGUAAAAGCUCACCAAGGCGACGAUCAGUAGCUGGUCUGAGAGGACGACCAGCCACACUGGGACUGAGACACGGCCCAGACUCCUACGGGAGGCAGCAGUGGGGAAUUUUGGACAAUGGGGGCAACCCUGAUCCAGCAAUGCCGCGUGAGUGAAGAAGGCCUUCGGGUUGUAAAGCUCUUUUGUCAGGGAAGAAACGGUGAGAGCUAAUAUCUCUUGCUAAUGACGGUACCUGAAGAAUAAGCACCGGCUAACUACGUGCCAGCCGCCGCUGUAA
Molecule: ribosomal RNA, 502 nt
Filed under: uncultured bacterium
Lineage: Bacteria
Description: partial 16S ribosomal RNA
Rfam family: Bacterial small subunit ribosomal RNA
Source: RNAcentral